This is a non-coding RNA of Malus domestica (apple), 1841 nucleotides long. NCBI's taxonomy places the organism in Eukaryota, Viridiplantae, Streptophyta, Magnoliopsida, Rosales, Rosaceae. The record is from RefSeq and is a predicted model, not a curated record.
UGUCAUUCCAUUUCAGAAGUGUGUUUGCAAACUUUUAAAUAUAUCAAAGUGCAUUGUUUGCCAAAGCUUGUAGCUUCCCUCCUUUCUCUAUUUCUUUGUCCAAUUUUAUUGAGAGUGCAAAGUGAGAGGUGUGAUAGAGUUUGUAAACUUAUCACCCAUAUAUUUUAGUAUUGAGUUAGUAAACUUUUCAAUACCAACACUAUUCACCUUGUACUUGCUGGAACAUGGGUUGGGAUAGGAAUAGUUAUAGGCAAAUUUGACGUGUGUUCCUAUAAAAAAACCGUUAUUGCUUUUGUGGAUCUUGUUGAAUAUAUUGGUCAUCUAAAACAAUAAACUGCUACCUUCAGUCAGCUAGGGUUAUGCGCUGAUAGAAUAUGAGAAGUUUGAGGAAGCUAAGGCAGCAAUAUUGGGAAUGAAUGGUGCUAAACUUUUUGGUCAGACCAUAUCUGGUGAUUGGGCUUUCAGUACUGGUCCCCAUGGAAGCAAUUUAAGUUGUGUUUUCUUUUUAGUAUUUUGUGUUAUGUCACUAAUGGCCUUGAUUUUAGUUCUUUUAUAUCCGAUAAUUUGGAUUGGUUGUUUAUAAAUGGAUUAAUUUGUCAUGUUUGUCCGAAGAAAGGCUUUCUUACCAAAUAAAAAUAAAAAUUGUAAAGCAAUAUAACAUGGUUAUUUAGUUUCAUAGUUUAAUUUAUCUAUUCUUCCCACAUUCUGUGAAGGGAAUAACUUCCAUCUUAUCACAUGUAAUGGAAGCUUGUGGCGUUCCUAGCAAUUCUAGUCAGAUGACCAAUCAAUUAUGGGUCUAAUGAAUUUUCUCUUCCUAAUAUUGUGAAAAGAUCCGAAUUUGAACCACCUUCUCUGCUGAUAGAAAUAAAAGUUGUUGGUCAGAUGCAUAAUUUAUGUACAUUAUCUAUCAGAAUAUUUUUGUUUUCUGCACCUACUAUCUCCAAGCAUGCAAUUGUCAAGCGUAUGUGUUUUAACUAUACAUACAUUGAUGGAUUGCUCCUUUCGUCUUCUUUGUAGGUCGCCGAACCGUUCCCGAAGUCCAAGGAGGAGAUACUGAUUUGGAUGGUGCUUGUUGCUUGAGAAACACUAUCAUAUUUGUGCUAGCUAGUGACACUCUAAGGAUGGUAACUAAUUGGCAAGUGUGGAUCUCCUAUGCCGGGGGUAUUGUAGGUUGUUUCGAAAGAUUAGGCUAGAACGGAAGUUGUAACACAUGAAUUUACUAACUACUCUUGGAAACUUUGAGAUGGUUUUAGCAGGUGUCAAUCCCUUUGGUGACAUACAAUAAAAUUGGAACGAUACAGAGAAUGUUUAGCUGUCGUGGAUGAUAAACUAGAGUUUGUGUUCUACUAGUUGGAUGUAAAUGAAUUUCCAAGAAAAUUCCGUUCACUUCAAAAAGAUUUAAUUUCAACUUCAUGAACAACGAGAUUUUAAGUAGAAAAGAAAAAGAAAUAUGCAACUACGGCAAUUGCUUCUGCUACCCAAGCACCACCACCCCUGCCUCCACUGCCACCGUUGUUGCCUUGGACGCCAUCUCUUUACCACCAGCGCACCGCUACUCUACGCUGUUACUACCGUAACUAUCACUACUAUUGCUAAAAGCAUUGUCAUAUCAUUGUAUCAUGGCACUAUUAAUGUAUCAUACAACAUCAAAUGCUUACACUAAGAAAUGAUUUUCACACAUCAAUUCAUUUUUGUCCUUUAAUUCUCUUUUGAUUUGUUGAACCAAAUAUGAAAAAUAACCAAUAAAUUGGUAUGCAAAAAUCACCUUUUUCUCCUUGUACUAUAGCAAGAUAUCCUAACAGUGUAAGCUUUUGAAAUACUGGAAAAUUGACAUUAUCGAA